This 3654-nucleotide ribosomal RNA is filed under the name Triticum aestivum (bread wheat). RNAcentral describes it as "partial small subunit ribosomal RNA". Lineage: Eukaryota; Viridiplantae; Streptophyta; Magnoliopsida; Poales; Poaceae. The record is from RNAcentral.
AUGGCCGCGCCGCCGGAGACGACGGCCGCGCCGUCCCCGCCGGAAGGGGAGCACAAGGGCAACGCGGGCGUCGAAGUCUGCUGCUUCGAGCAAUCUGCAGAAGACUUCUCCAGAGCGGUACGCGCCAUCUCGGAGCUCGCCGCCGGCGACCCCGAGCCGGGGUUCCCCGACGCCGAAGCGGAGCGUCUCGCCUCCUCGAUAACGUUCCUCAGAGAAUGGAAGCAUUUUAAUUAUGAGCCAAAAGGUGUAAGUUUUACUUACGGCACUGGAUCAACUUCAUCCAGAGAUGACACACAUGAGAUUACCUUACCACAGUUCUCGUCUGCAUCUGUUCCUCAGUGCAAAUCAAUGCAGGUCACACAUUUGGAAGAUGGGAGGGAUAAUAAUACAUACAGCUCUGAUUUCAUUUUAUUCGCUGGGGGGAAUGUUUGGUCGUUGGACUGGUGCCCGAGGUUGUGCGACAAGCCUUCUUCUCCCGCAAAUUGCGAGUAUCUUGCUGUUGCUGCUCAUCCUCCUGGUUCUUCCUACCAUAAAAUUGGUAUGCCACUGAUUGGCAGAGGCAUCAUUCAAGUUUGGUGUAUUGUAGCACCCUUUGAAGAGGCACAUACUAAUCAGUCAAUGCUUGCAUACAGUAAUAGCAAUUGUAGAGGAAGGCCUAGAAAAAUACCAAAAGAGAACAAUUCAAUUGAGAGUUCAUCAGUUCCUCGAAAACCAAUAGGGAGACCGAGAAAGAUAAAACUGACGACUGGGGAUGAUCGCACGGAACGUAGUAGUCUGAAAAAACCAACGGAUCAUGCAGAACCUAGUCUGAAAAAACCAAGGGGCAGACCAAGAAAAUAUCCACUGUCAGUUGCCAAAGUGGUAGAUUCAACAAAAAAUAGCGGAAGUCCAGGCUCUAGUUUUGUUGACCCUCUUGCCACUUCAGGAGUUAUUCCAGGCGAUCUUGCAUUAUCUUGUGGUAUACCAUCUGUGCAGUCUGUGGAAUCAGCUCCAAAAAAAGGCAGGGGUAGACCUAGGAAAAUCCCAAUUGACAAAAUAAAGUGUUCGCCUGACACUGAAUGGACAGAAGAUACCUCUAGAGCUCUAAUAUGCUGCACGAAACCAAAGAAAAAGAGGGGGAGGCCCCGGAAAUAUCCACUCCCAAGCAGCAGCAAGCAUGUUUCUGGCACUGAUACUGAAUUUGAAAGAGAAACUGGAUACGCAGAGUCUAAUUCUAAUUUAAGUCUUGUUACAGUUGAUGCAGCAUUACCAGUUCCAUCUCCAUCUCUUACAAUUUGUGGGAAAAGAUCAAGAGGUCGGAAGGGUAGAGGACGACCUAAAAAGGAAACAAAUUGUUGUGCACUUUCUUCGGCAGUGGUUUCUGAUGUCCAAUCGCAGAGUAUGGAGACCAUUUCAAAUGAUCCAGCACACUCUGUUGAGAAUCAUUUGCCAUAUGGACACUCUAACUUGACAAGUGAGCUUUGUUCGAUUAGCAUGCUAAGAUGUGAUGGCAAUGUGCACACAGGCCCCACUUUAGAAGAUUCCUUGCUGCCUAUGCAUAUUGCAGCUAAAUCAAAUGGCGAGGAGUCAAGUGGUAGUAGGAGACGAGGACGGCCUAGAAGGAAGACACUUUCAAAUACAAACAGUUGUUUAUUUGCUUCUGGUACCGAGUCCUCAAAGGCGGCUACUACAAUUACCAAUUCGGACAAUCCCAUGGCUUUGACCAAGAGUGACGGUGAAGCUAUAGCAAGCGAUCUUGCUUCAAUUGGUUCGUUGAGGUGUCAUAUAGGAAAGUGCAAUGUCAAUAUGAGUGCUGCAUCAUCUGAUGCCACAUCACCAACACAUGGCUUGUGUAAUGCAAAUUACAAGGAAAAAUUAAGUGUCCAGCAGACAACUCCCCAGCCAAAUGAUAAUGUGGCCUCAGUCCAAAAUUGCAAGAAAGAAUUAAUUGUCUACACCAGAAGGCGUGUACGAGGACCUACAAAGAAACCUGCUUCAAAUAAGACCUACUCACCGGCUCUUAGUGGUGAUGCUCAGAAGACGGAGAGAUUCUCCACGUAUAUCAUGCCAAAUAAUAAUUUGUCUUCUGUUGAGAAUCCCAAUCUACUGGGUUCAUCUAUAAGUGAAGACAUGGCUAACGAGGCUGGUUUGGUUGGAUGUAAGAGUGCACUUGCUAACCAUGAAGUUGUGGAAAUGAAUGAUAGUGAAGCUGUAAACAAAGUUGCGCCUGUUCCUUCUGAAAACAGUGCCCAGAUCAUUGUUGCGGAAGAUACAGAAGUAGUUCCAUCCAAAGAAUCAAGUAAAAAUGAUAUUAUUACUUGUGCAGAAAACUCAAACUUUUCUGCAAUCCCCAAAGGCAUUCAUCUACCAAGGGUCGUCUUGUGUUUAGCUCAUAACGGCAAAGUUGCUUGGGACAUCAAAUGGAAGCCUCCUUUACCAAAUCAGUCAGAACAAAAAUCACAUUUGGGUUUUCUUGCAGUACUAUUGGGAAAUGGCUCACUUGAAGUAUGGGAAGUUCCAUCUCCAAGCAUGAUCCAGAAAAUAUAUUCCUCUUCUUCAGUGAAGGGCACCGAUCCUCGCUUUCUAAAGCUGCAACCUGUAUUUAGAUGUGCUAAAGUUAAGUGCGGAAACAUACAGAGCAUUCCCUUGACAGUUGAUUGGUCGCCUUAUCCUCAUGAUAUGAUACUAGCAGGAUGUCACGAUGGAACGGUUGCUUUAUGGAAGUUCUCUACAGACUUGCCAUCACAAGAUUCAAAACCUUUUAUGUGUGUCACUGCUGAAUCUGUUCCCAUCAGAGCCCUCUCGUGGGCACCAUAUGUAAGUGAGGAAAACACAAAUAUCUUCGUCACUGCUGGAGAGGAUGGCCUAAAAUUCUGGGAUUUAAGAGAUCCAUACCGUCCUCUGUGGGAACUAACCACUGCCCCAAGGGCUGUUUUAAGUCUUCAUUGGUUAAAGGAGGCUAGAGGUAUUAUCAUCUCACUGGAAGAUGGCACAUUGAAGUUCCUCAGCCUACCUAGAAUUGCCAAUGAUGUUCCAGUCACCGGAAGGCCAUUUGCUGGGACUAAAACUCAGGGCGUUUCUACUUAUCAGUUGUCAGAAUAUUUGAUAUGGAAUGUCCAUGUCUCAGAAAUUACCGGUUAUGCGGCUUAUUGUGUGGCAGAUGGUACUGCUGUGCGCUUCCAGCUUACUUCGAGAUUCUGGGAGAAGGAACCUGGGAGGAACCGUGUGCCCUAUUUCCUUUGUGGUUCGCUAGCAGAGGAGGGAACAACCAUUAAGAUUGGUGGAACAUUGCAAAGCUCUCCUUUGUCAAAUGUUCCUCUGAUUGCAAAGAAGGGUCCAAAACCAUGCCAAAAAGUACCUAAAGCCCACAAUACACAAAAAGAGCAAGUACUAACACUCACCAACUCAGAACAUGUAGAUCCAGAACUUAGAGAGGGUCGACUAGAUGGACCUGGGGAGGGCCAAGAGACUAAUGCUCUGGCUUUAGCCGAUUCUCUUAUGCUAGAGAAUGGUGGCACAUGCAACGUCCCAGUUGAUGAAGACACUAAAGACUUUGAGCUCUUCCCUCCCAAAGCUGUAGCGCUGCAUCAACUGAGGUGGAAUAUGAACAAAGGCAGCGAGAAAUGGUUAUGCUAUGGAGGCGCUGCAGGCAUCAUUCGUUGUCAGAGGAUCUAA